GACGAACGCUGGCGGCGUGCUUAACACAUGCAAGUCGAACGGAAAGGCGCUGCUCUUGUGGGGUGCUCGAGUGGCGAACGGGGGAGUAACACGUGAGUAACAUGCCCUUGACUUAGGGAUAAAAUCAGGAAACAGGGGCUAUUACCGGAUAGGAGCUCCUGAUGCACGGGGGGGGUUGGAAAGAUACGGCGGUUGGGGAUGGUAUCGAGGCUUAUGCGCUUGUUGGUGGAGUAGUGGCUGACAAAGGCUGUGACGGGUAGCCGGCCUGAGAGGGUGACCGGGCACCUGGGGCCUGAGAUAGGGCCCAGAAUCGUACGUGACGCAGCAGUCGGGAGUAUGACACAACGGGCGGAAGCCUGUUACAGCAACGCCGGGUGCGGGAUGCUGGCCUUCGAGGGGUAAACCGCUGUGGCAUGUGACGAAGCGGGAGUGACGGUAACUGGUAAAGAAGCACCGGCUAACUACGUG
Molecule: ribosomal RNA, 468 nt
Filed under: uncultured bacterium
Lineage: Bacteria
Description: partial 16S ribosomal RNA
Rfam family: Bacterial small subunit ribosomal RNA
Source: RNAcentral